AACAUGGGUUUGCGCCAGGGCAUUUUUUGUCUUCUUCACAUUGACCACCAACCUUUUCCAUUUUACCUCUUGCCACUCUUGCCUCUAGAAUUUUCCCAGGCCUAUAAUUGGCAUCACUAUCAUCAGGGAAACGCACACAACAAGCAGACCCCCCUCUCUCUCUCGUGUCUUGACCGGCGACCGGAGAUCGGAGCUCCGGCGAAUCGACGCUGGUUAUGGUUGACGGCGACGGUGGUGCCUCGGAACUCCGGAAGCCGUGAUGUAUACGUCCGGUGACGGCGGAGAGUCGCCGGCGACAGUGGCGACAGGGCAGUGGUGGUGGCUGUGCUAACAGGCCACUCCAUCUCAGAUACGUUCGGCUCAGUCAAGUCCGGCCUAGAUUCAGGCGACAGGGUUCAACUCGGUUUGGUUCGGUUUAGGUUUUUGUUAGACACGGAUUCGAGGUGGUAAAACUACCAUCUUUAUUUUCUGAUCCAAAGCCCUAUGGUUUGGGCAGUUAAUUUAUCACAUACCAAAAAACCAGAGGUUUGGGUGUGGUAAUGUGGAUGUGUGAGAGGGUUCACGAGAUGGACAGAGGCAAAAGAUACAGGCAUACAAAACUUGAUAUCUUUUCUUAGUAUAAAGCACAUUGCUCUAUAUAAAAAAACAAAAGUGAGCUUUUUUAUAUUAUUUUUUAUUUUUUAUACAACUAAGUGCGUACGAUACAAAUUGAGGUAAAUUUGUUUUAGAGUUUCUCGAUCGAUAUAAAAACAUGUACGUUAAUAUCUG
Helianthus annuus (common sunflower) is the source of this 768-nucleotide long non-coding RNA. RefSeq lists it as uncharacterized. The record is from RefSeq and is a predicted model, not a curated record. The transcript has 2 exons. NCBI's taxonomy places the organism in Eukaryota, Viridiplantae, Streptophyta, Magnoliopsida, Asterales, Asteraceae.